RNAcentral lists this ribosomal RNA (443 nucleotides) under uncultured bacterium. Its description in RNAcentral is "partial 16S ribosomal RNA". It matches the Rfam family "Bacterial small subunit ribosomal RNA", at positions 338 to 795 of the family's 1533-position model. The record is from RNAcentral.
CCUACGGGUGGCAGCAGUGGGGAAUAUUGGACAAUGGGGGGAACCCUGAUCCAGCGACGCCGCGUGAGUGAAGAAGUAUUUCGGUAUGUAAAGCUCUAUCAGCAGGGAAGAAAGAAAUGACGGUACCUGACUAAGAAGCCCCGGCUAACUACGUGCCAGCAGCCGCGGUAAUACGUAGGGGGCAAGCGUUAUCCGGAAUUACUGGGUGUAAAGGGAGCGUAGACGGUGAUGUAAGUCUGGAGUGAAAGGCGGGGGACCAACCCCCGGACUGCUCUGGAAACUAUGUGACUGGAGUGCAGGAGAGGUGAGCGGAAUGCCUAGUGUAGCGGUGAAAUGCGUAGAUAUUAGGAGGAACACCAGUGGCGAAGGCGGCUCACUGGACUGUAACUGACGUUGAGGCUCGAAAGCGUGGGGAGCAAACAGGAUUAGAUACCCGGGUAGUC